UAUUUACAUUUAUUGUUCUCCGCCUUUUACCAAACGCGGAUCUGUUACAUUGUCGCUUUUCUGCACACGUGUGGCGAUUGUCCCGUGCGUUUUGUGAUGCGUGUUUUUUGUAUGAUAUUGUAAUCUGUUCUUUUGGUUCUUAUGCUGAGUUUGGCGUGUCCGGAUAUCGGCCGAUUCUCAUUUCCUUCCAUGUAAACUGAGCUGCGAGGAAUAUGCCCUUGGGGGGGGUGAUAUAAUUUACUGGAAAUUUAAUUUGUGGCAUUGUGUCUGGUAUGUCUUGUUGGGCGUGCGCAGCCACGUGCCCAGGGAUUACAGCGUUAAUGAUGAUAAUUUAUUCAGCUGAUAAUUAUUAUCAUUAUUAUUGAUGUAUAUAGCGCCAUCAUAUUCCACAGCGCUGUACAACGGGUAAACAUUGCAUCACAUAACAUUUUUGAGGGGUUUGCCCAAUAAGCUUACAAUCUAGAAGAGAAAACAGUUCCUAAAUAACGAAUUAUAUUCCUCAGACUAUUACAGUGUAUGCAGCUGCGUCGUAUUAAAGGUCAUUUUAACAAAACCAAACAAUUAUGAUCACGAGGUGAAAAAAUAAUAUUAAGAAACAAAGUGUAAAAAUGCUUUUGGAAUGCUUUUGUGCUUUUUACGCUAUUUUUGAUAAUAUCCGCACUUUUGCCGCCAAACCUGUGCUCAUGCGCAGCGUUACCGUCAGACUGUGUUCAGGAACUCUGUGUCCGUGGGUUAUGAAGCUGUGAUUGACACGUUUUUUACUUGAAUUGGACCAGAAAUAUAUAUAUUUAUGCUUUAUUUAAAUAAGCGCUCGUCUGUCACCUGAUUCGUCACCGCAGCUGCACCGUAAAGCAUUUCAAACUGUUUGAUACAAAUUAUUUUAAUAAAGAGGAUUUUCAUGCA
This is a long non-coding RNA of Spea bombifrons (plains spadefoot toad), 903 nucleotides long. RefSeq lists it as uncharacterized. The transcript is spliced from 2 exons. The record is from RefSeq and is a predicted model, not a curated record. NCBI's taxonomy places the organism in Eukaryota, Metazoa, Chordata, Amphibia, Anura, Pelobatidae.